This is a long non-coding RNA of Ovis aries (sheep), 440 nucleotides long. NCBI's taxonomy places the organism in Eukaryota, Metazoa, Chordata, Mammalia, Artiodactyla, Bovidae. The record is from Ensembl.
AAAGCCAGUCUUCCAGCAGGUCGCUCUUGUGCUCCACCAAGCUGUAUGCGCCUGCCUCCCAGUCCUUGUGUCCCUCCUACCCCCGCCCACCCCCGAAUUCCUUUCCAGGGCAGAGCCCCUUUGGAGAACUUCUUACCAGUCAGUACACUUACCUUUACUGGGCCUGAGAGGAGGCACCCAGCAGAGGCGAGUGUGUCCACUGAGGUCAUCACUGAGCCCUUCUCUGCAGUCAAAGUGAAAGGUCAUCAUGCAGGGCCCACGGGCAGAAACCUGAAGCCGUGCACUGUGGAGAGGGAGGCUCCAUUGCCCCUGAAGUGGUGGUCAUCCAACACACGAGGACUGAUUCACAAGUCACAUCUACACUCACCACACCAGCAGAGGGGAACGCUUGGGUCAGUUGGACAAUGACCACGGGAGAGCAAACUGGAACCAGAGCACGG